CUUAGAUAGCGCCAACAGGCUACCUACGUGCGCCACUGCCAUUGAUGCCCUCUUCGGUGCUCUCCAGCCUUCGUUCCCCCACCGACACCUACUGCCCGAGCCCCUCCUCCCGGUAGGUGAAGCCAAGCCACCUCACUGCUGCCGUGGGAUUCUUCGCCGUUGCGCUCCUUCUCCCUCUCCGGCCAAGCUCGUCCUACAGACCACCAGUAGCCACCUCUUCCACAGCUAGGCUCCUCAUCAAUCUGCCAUAGGCACCUCCAACCCUAAUUCCUCUUCCACCAUGGCAAUAUCAGCUCAUCUUCUUUGGUCUCCUAUCUGUCCAUAAUUUUGGUGGCUUCAAGCAAAACACCAAGGCAAAGUUUGGUUCUGCACAUCCACUGGGACCUCUCUUACUAGAACUUAAAGGACUGCUAUGACAUGGUAUGUUGUUCAUCAUGGUUGGCAAAGUGGAGUGUUCUCCAGUUGAGAGGAAUGUCAUGCACAAGUUAAUGGAUUCAAAGGAGUAUGUUACAAAGAAUACAAGUCCAAACAUGAAGCUAUUGUGGCAUACAACAGUCAAGCCAUCCAAGCCGAGCUAAAAUUGGCUAACUUCGAGAAUAAGAAGUGUGAUUUCACGUGUAAAGAUGUCAUAAUCCUAGUUCUGGUUAUAAUUAUCAUUAUUUUGCUAUGUAAGAU
Molecule: long non-coding RNA, 675 nt
Organism: Phragmites australis (common reed)
Lineage: Eukaryota; Viridiplantae; Streptophyta; Magnoliopsida; Poales; Poaceae
Exons: 4
Source: RefSeq, a predicted model, not a curated record